RNAcentral lists this ribosomal RNA (441 nucleotides) under uncultured bacterium. RNAcentral's name for it is "partial 16S ribosomal RNA". It matches the Rfam family "Bacterial small subunit ribosomal RNA", at positions 338 to 795 of the family's 1533-position model. The record is from RNAcentral.
CCUACAGGGGGCAGCAGUGGGGAAUAUUGCACAAUGGGGGGAACCCUGAUGCAGCAACGCCGCGUGGGUGAAGAAGUACUCCGGUAUGUAAAGCCCUGUCAGCAGGGAAGAAAAUGACGGUACCUGACCAAGAAGCCCCGGCUAACAACGUGCCAGCAGCCGCGGUAAUACGUAGGGGGCAAGCGUUAUCCGGAUUUACUGGGUGUAAAGGGUGCGUAGGCGGCAUAAUAAGUUAGAAGUGAAAUACCCAGAGCUUAACUCGGGUGCUGCUUCUAAGACUGUUGAGCUUGAGUGCGGGAGAGGUUAAUGGAAUGCCUAGUGUAGCGGUGGAAUGCGUAGAUAUUGGGAGGAACACCAGAGGCGAAGGCGAUUAACUGGACCGUAACUGACGCUGAGGCACGAAAGUGUGGGUAGCAAACAGGAUUAGAUACCCUGGUAGUC